GAGGGCUUUGGAGGGCUGUCCUGCAUGCCACCUUGUUCCUAACACCUGCUUGUCCUUGAAUGUGGAGCUGCCGUUGAUGACUUCAGGCAGACCUACCAAGCCAGGUUCCCUGUUUCCUGCGCACAGAGAAGGCCAUUUGGCAAUGCAAAUCAUGUCUGCCCACACCCGCUAUGGAUCCUAUAAGUUUACACAAAUCACUGAGUAAAAAUCACAUAUUGCUGUAAUUUACAAACACCACCCCGUCAUUCAUAGCUGCAGAGGGAGAUGGUGAGUGCUUGCAGAAAGCUGUCAACAGCUCUUGGACCCGCUGUGUGUGCUGCAGCUCUGGUACGGUGGCAGCCACUCAGUGCUGCUGUGGCCUCCACUGCUUCAGUGGUAGUUGGGGACCUGGUUCUGUGGUGGCUUUGAGGGUUGACCCAGUCCUGGCCAGUUUUCUAAACAUGCAUUGAUUCCUGCCCACAUCUGGAGGCCACUCCAAAAACCAGAGAUGAUUGUCAUAAUAAAACAAUAAUCACAGCUAACUCUUGCUGAGCACUUUCUAUAGCCCCAUGGCACAAAGGAAUUUACCCUAUGAAUUCUCACAACCACAAGGAUUGGGUACUUCAUCAUCCUCAUUUUCUGAAGGUGGAAACAGGCUCAGAGAGGUUAAACGACUCACUGAAAAUCAACCAGCUAGUAACUGGUGGAAACAAUCCUAAACCUAACUGUCUGAUUUAAACAUCUGGUCUGGCUCUUAGAAAGGAUGCUGCCCUGCUCCAGCCCUGCCUCCUCCUCCUGAUAUUCAUCAAAGAGAGCUUAUUCGGGGGAGCAGACAGUGUCAGUGGACUCAGAGGAUCUGGGAGAACAAACUCAGACUGGAAGAUGAGAAGCACGGCUGAGUCCCGGAGCAGACUGAGCCACUUAAGAGGGGAGGAACCACUGCAGAGAAACCGUGUCAAGCCUUUUUGAAGUUCCGGGGGGAGAACAAGAGAGCGGAGGCUCCUGGUGGCUGGUGACAGGUGCUGAUUUGUUCUGGGGAAACAGCACAGAAAAGUGACUGGAGAGGAGGCUGGGCCAGAAUGGGAUGCAGGCAAUGGGAAGGACUCUCAAGACACAGUCCUGGGCUCGCAGGCAGGACCAACCCCCAAACCUGUCCCCCCAGGAGCCUGCAGAGCCUCUGCCCUGACAGGGGACACCUCACCUCCUCUCCUUGCAGCUGCUCUUGGCUGGGAGAGCAGAGAACAGGGGACAGGAGAGAAGGCCCCAGAGUACUGAAGCUGAGGCUGGGAUAGUCUUCAUUUGCCUCUUUCCUCAGCCCUUUUCCUGUUCUCUUGUCUUUUCUCUCUUUCUCUACUUCCCUUCUCCCUAGCCCAGUCUCUCACCUUUCUUCAUCCUCUGGGCCUUUUCUUCUUCCUCUCUUGCCAUGAUUCUUCCUUCUCUGUCCCUCUUGUCUUCUCUUUUACUUCCUCUCUUCUUCUCUCCUUCCUGCAGCUAUGCCCUCUUCCCUCCUUUUUCCUGUCCCCAACCAGGGCAUUAGAAAUGCAUCCCAGUCAGCCUGAUCUGAUCACUGCAUAUUGUAUGCAUGAAUCAAAAUAUCACAUGUACCCCAGAAAUAUGUAAAUUACUGCAUAUCAAUGAAAAGAAAUCUAGCUUCUUUGCCUCACGUAGAGAAAAGCCAAUCUCAAGUAUAAAUAAACAAGCAAAUAAAACAAAC
Macaca mulatta (Rhesus monkey) is the source of this 1693-nucleotide non-coding RNA. Lineage: Eukaryota; Metazoa; Chordata; Mammalia; Primates; Cercopithecidae. The record is from RefSeq and is a predicted model, not a curated record.